Molecule: ribosomal RNA, 253 nt
Filed under: uncultured bacterium
Lineage: Bacteria
Description: partial 16S ribosomal RNA
Rfam family: Bacterial small subunit ribosomal RNA
Source: RNAcentral
UACGGAGGGUGCGAGCGUUGCUCGGAAUUAUUGGGCGUAAAGCGUACGCAGGUGGCCGAUCAAGUCGAGUGUGAAAUCCCGGGGCUCAACUCCGGAACUGCAUUCGAGACUGACUGGCUUGAGUGCGGGAGAGGGAAGCGGAAUUCCUGGUGUAGAGGUGAAAUUCGUAGAUAUCAGGAGGAACACCGGUGGCGAAAGCGGCUUCCUGGCCCGACACUGACGCUCAUGUACGAAAGCGUGGGGAGCAAACAGG